Arvicanthis niloticus (Nile rat) is the source of this 73-nucleotide non-coding RNA. The record is from the annotation of a RefSeq genome assembly. Lineage: Eukaryota; Metazoa; Chordata; Mammalia; Rodentia; Muridae.
GGUUCCAUAGUGUAGCGGUUAUCACGUCUGCUUUACAUGAAGAAGGUCCUGGGUUCGAGCCCCAGUGGAACCA